CUUUCAUCCCAGGAUCCUCUAGCUUUGACCCUGUAGGUCUGUCCCUGGGAUUCUGUACAAGGCUCAGAGGGUUUGGAGUACCGGUGUGGACUGUGUGGUCAGGGGUUUAUGCAGUGUCGCGGGGUUCUGAUUCACUGUGUCCCUUCAGCAGUGGCAAGUCCUCUCCAUAUGUUGGCCACCCAUGCAUCAGCAUCGGCAUCCCUGCCCACAAAGCGCCAGAAUGGUGACCAGGCAGAGCAGCCAGAGCUCAAGAGAGUUAAAGCAGAAGAUGGGGAGAGCAUUGUCAUUGCCCUGAGUGUGGAUGCACCACCAGCAGCUGUGAGAGAAAAGGCGAUCCAGAACUAGUGUGGGAGGCCUUUUCUUCAGACAUCAACUUUGUGGUGCCAAAAGGAGAUGCUGCCUCUCACUGAAGCGGGAGCACAUCCUCAGUGGGUAAAAGGGCCCUGCGGUUGGACUUCACCUCUCAGCACUGAAAACAUGAACCCAGGUGGCCUUAAAACUCCUUAAUUUAAAGACAUCUUACACUUGAACAGACCCACAACAGCAACCCUGGUUCCAGAGGUGGUGUCUCCGACAGAGCACUCGCUGGGCUGUCGUCUGUGGGCUCAGCUUUUACUACAAGCAAGAACUCCAGGUCCCAAAGGACUGAGUCUCCUGUGAGGACGCAGCACCUGCUACAAGUGGACCUUGCUGGCUUUCCUUUAGGGGACAGAGCCACAGCCACCUGCUGCCCUUAUAGGAUUUGCUGGCUGUGGCUGAGAGACAAGACAGUAUUUUGUUGUCCACAUGUGGAAUUAGAAUACUUGGGGAUGUCCUUUCUUUACUAAAUAAUGGGGUCUUUGACAUUUCAUAUCACUCCAUUUCUACUCUGGAAAUUUGAGAUUCAUUUGGGG
This 893-nucleotide long non-coding RNA is filed under the name Rattus norvegicus (Norway rat). RNAcentral's name for it is "long non-coding RNA NONRATT005160". Lineage: Eukaryota; Metazoa; Chordata; Mammalia; Rodentia; Muridae. The record is from RNAcentral.